GAUGAACGCUGGCGGCGUGCUUAACACAUGCCAGUCGAACGAAGCACUUUAUUUGAUUUCCUUCGGGACUGAUUAUUUUGUGACUGAGUGGCGGACGGGUGAGUAACGCGUGGGUAACCUGCCUUGUACAGGGGGAUAACAGUUGGAAACGGCUGCUAAUACCGCAUAAGCGCACAGCAUCGCAUGAUGCAGUGUGAAAAACUCCGGUGGUAUAAGAUGGACCCGCGUUGGAUUAGCUAGUUGGUGAGGUAACGGCCCACCAAGGCGACGAUCCAUAGCCGACCUGAGAGGGUGACCGGCCACAUUGGGACUGAGACACGGCCCAAACUCCUACGGGAGGCAGCAGUGGGGAAUAUUGCACAAUGGGCGAAAGCCUGAUGCAGCGACGCCGCGUGAGCGAAGAAGUAUUUCGGUAUGUAAAGCUCUAUCAGCAGGGAAGAUAAUGACGGUACCUGACUAAGAUGCACCGGCUAAAUACGUG
Molecule: ribosomal RNA, 481 nt
Filed under: uncultured bacterium
Lineage: Bacteria
Description: partial 16S ribosomal RNA
Rfam family: Bacterial small subunit ribosomal RNA
Source: RNAcentral